This 550-nucleotide ribosomal RNA is filed under the name uncultured bacterium. RNAcentral's name for it is "bacterial SSU rRNA". It matches the Rfam family "Bacterial small subunit ribosomal RNA", at positions 355 to 896 of the family's 1533-position model. The record is from RNAcentral.
UAGGGAAUCUUCGGCAAUGGACGGAANNNUGGACCGAGCAACGCCGCGUGAGUGAAGAAGGUUUUCGGAUCGUAAAGCUCCGUUGUAAGAGAAGAACGAGUGUGAGAGUGGAAAGUUCACACUGUGACGGUAUCUUACCAGAAAGGGACGGCUAACUACGUGCCAGCAGCCGCGGUAAUACGUAGGUCCCGAGCGUUGUCCGGAUUUAUUGGGCGUAAAGCGAGCGCAGGCGGUUAGAUAAGUCUGAAGUUAAAGGCUGUGGCUUAACCAUAGUAGGCUUUGGAAACUGUUUAACUUGAGUGCAAGAGGGGAGAGUGGAAUUCCAUGUGUAGCGGUGAAAUGCGUAGAUAUAUGGAGGAACACCGGUGGGCGAAAGCGGCUCUCUGGCUUGUAACUGACGCUGAGGCUCGAAAGCGUGGGGAGCAAACAGGAUUAGAUACCCUGGUAGUCCACGCUGUNNCGAUGAGUGCUAGGUGUUAGACCCUUUCCGGGGUUUAGUGCCGUAGCUAACGCAUUAAGCACUCCGCCUGGGGAGUACGACCGCAANUUG